RNAcentral lists this ribosomal RNA (449 nucleotides) under uncultured bacterium. Its description in RNAcentral is "partial 16S ribosomal RNA". It matches the Rfam family "Bacterial small subunit ribosomal RNA", at positions 29 to 523 of the family's 1533-position model. The record is from RNAcentral.
AACGAACGCUGGCGGCAUGCCUAACACAUGCAAGUCGAACGAGAUCUUCGGGUCUAGUGGCGCACGGGUGCGGAACGCGUGGGAAUCUGCCCUUUGGUUCGGAAUAACAGUUGGAAACGACUGCUAAUACCGGAUGAUGACGAAAGUCCAAAGAUUUAUCGCCAGAGGAUGAGCCCGCGUAGGAUUAGCUAGUUGGUGUGGUAAAGGCGCACCAAGGCGACGAUCCUUAGCUGGUCUGAGAGGAUGAUCAGCCACACUGGGACUGAGACACGGCCCAGACUCCUACGGGAGGCAGCAGUGGGGAAUAUUGGACAAUGGGCGAAAGCCUGAUCCAGCAAUGCCGCGUGAGUGAUGAGGGCCUUAGGGUUGUAAAGCUCUUUUACCCGGGAUGAUAAUGACAGUACCGGGAGAAUAAGCUCCGGCUAACUACGUGCCAGCCGCCGCCGUAA